RNAcentral lists this ribosomal RNA (497 nucleotides) under uncultured bacterium. Its description in RNAcentral is "partial 16S ribosomal RNA". It matches the Rfam family "Bacterial small subunit ribosomal RNA", at positions 28 to 507 of the family's 1533-position model. The record is from RNAcentral.
GAUGAACGCUGGCGGCGUGCCUAAUACAUGCAAGUCGAGCGAACGGACGAGAAGCUUGCUUUUCUGAUGUUAGCGGCGGACGGGUGAGUAACACGUGGAUAACCUACCUAUAAGACUGGGAUAACUUCGGGAAACCGGAGCUAAUACCGGAUAAUAUUUUGAACCGCAUGGUUCAAAAGUGAAAGACGGUCUUGCUGUCACUUAUAGAUGGAUCCGCGCUGCAUUAGCUAGUUGGUAAGGUAACGGCUCACCAAGGCAACGAUGCAUAGCCGACCUGAGAGGGUGAUCGGCCACACUGGAGCUGAGACACGGUCCAGACUCCUACGGGAGGCAGCAGUAGGGAAUCUUCCGCAAUGGGCGAAAGCCUGACGGAGCAACGCCGCGUGAGUGAUGAAGGUCUUCGGAUCGUAAAACUCUGUUAUUAGGGAAGAACAUAUGUGUAAGUAACUGUGCACAUCUUGACGGUACCUAAUCAGAAAGCCACGGCUAACUACGUG